AUGAACGCUGGCGGCGUGCCUCAUACAUGCAAGUCGAGCGCACGGACGAGAAGCUUGCUUCUCUGAUGUUAGCGGCGGACGGGUGAGUAACACGUGGAUAACCUACCUAUAAGACUGGGAUAACUUCGGGAAACCGUAGCUAAUACCGGAUAAUAUUUUGAACCGCAUGAUUCAAAAGUGGAAGACGGUCUUGCUGUCACUUAUAGAUGGAUCCGCGCUGCAUUAGCUAGUUGGUAAGGUAACGGCUUACCAAGGCAACGAUGCAUAGCCGACCUGAGAGGGUGAUCGGCCACACUGGAACUGAGACACGGUCCAGACUCCUACGGGAGGCAGCAGUAGGGAAUCUUCCGCAAUGGGCGAAAGCCUGACGGAGCAACGCCGCGUGAGUGAUGAAGGUCUUCGGAUCGUAAAACUCUGUUAUUAGGGAAGAACAUAUGUGUAAGUAACUGUGCACAUCUUGACGGUACCUAAUCAGAAAGCCACGGCUAACUACGUG
Molecule: ribosomal RNA, 496 nt
Filed under: uncultured bacterium
Lineage: Bacteria
Description: partial 16S ribosomal RNA
Rfam family: Bacterial small subunit ribosomal RNA
Source: RNAcentral